GGCUUGUUUGCAGACCUUGGCAAAACCACGAAAUUAAAUAUCCAUGAACAUACAAGAUUUCCUUUAUCCACGAAAAUUGGUACCCACGAAAAUAAAUUAAUCCACAGUUUAUUAAGAAAAUACACAACUGGUAACAACUUCAAAAACACAACAUCUGUGUCUGAGAAAAUUAUUUUGAAGUGUCUUGUUCAAUAGGCUAAACAAAAUUGGUCGUAAAAAAUAUAUAAUUAUUUCUAAAACUAAGAGAUCCUGCUAAUAAACUACAACUGUGUUUCCCACUACACUAAUUUCCUACCAGUACCUUGAUUAUUAAGUAGUAAGCAAUCAUCAAUCAAUCGAGAACCAUUUACCUAAUCUUUAACAAAAUAA
RNAcentral lists this long non-coding RNA (369 nucleotides) under Mytilus galloprovincialis (Mediterranean mussel). The record is from RNAcentral. Lineage: Eukaryota; Metazoa; Mollusca; Bivalvia; Mytilida; Mytilidae.